UACGGGAGGCAGCAGUGAGGAAUAUUGGUCAAUGGACGAGAGUCUGAACCAGCCAAGUAGCGUGAAGGAUGACUGCCCUAUGGGUUGUAAACUUCUUUUAUAUGGGAAUAAAACAGGGUAUGCAUACCCUCUUGUAUGUACCAUAUGAAUAAGGAUCGGCUAACUCCGUGCCAGCAGCCGCGGUAAUACGGAGGAUCCGAGCGUUAUCCGGAUUUAUUGGGUUUAAAGGGAGCGUAGGUGGAUUGUUAAGUCAGUUGUGAAAGUUUGCGGCUCAACCGUAAAAUUGCAGUUGAAACUGGCAGUCUUGAGUACAGUAGAGGUGGGCGGAAUUCGUGGUGUAGCGGUGAAAUGCUUAGAUAUCACGAAGAACUCCGAUUGCGAAGGCAGCUCACUGGACUGCAACUGACACUGAUGCUCGAAAGUGUGGGUAUCAAACAGGAUUAGAUACCCUGGUAGUCCACACAGUAAACGAUGAAUACUCGCUGUUUGCGAUAUACAGUAA
RNAcentral lists this ribosomal RNA (502 nucleotides) under uncultured bacterium. RNAcentral describes it as "bacterial SSU rRNA". It matches the Rfam family "Bacterial small subunit ribosomal RNA", at positions 340 to 842 of the family's 1533-position model. The record is from RNAcentral.